Molecule: unclassified non-coding RNA, 203 nt
Filed under: Hevea brasiliensis (rubber tree)
Lineage: Eukaryota; Viridiplantae; Streptophyta; Magnoliopsida; Malpighiales; Euphorbiaceae
Source: RNAcentral
CGUGAGUGCUGCACAGAAGCCAUCUGAAACAAAUAAUUUGCAAGCCCCAAGAUCUGUACAAAACCAGGUUUCUUCAUCGGUUGCACUUAAGAAGCCACCGCAAUCUGAUAACAAGAAAUAUUCUGAUGAGGAAGACUCAUCAAUUGCCUCUUGUGAUGUGGUCUCAGCAAGAAAAUCCAGGGUCACUGUAGCGGCAGCCCCAG